Molecule: RNA transcript, 4337 nt
Organism: Planococcus citri (citrus mealybug)
Lineage: Eukaryota; Metazoa; Arthropoda; Insecta; Hemiptera; Pseudococcidae
Exons: 6
Source: RefSeq, a predicted model, not a curated record
UGUGCACAAUGUAUGUACAUUUACAUUAGCUCAACUCUGUGUAUUUGCUAUCAACUUUGUUGGUUAUCUACCUGACAAAUAACUUUCGCGAGGUAGAAUCCAACCAAUAAGCUUAUCUACGUAAGUAUAUACGCGGGUAACUUAUCAAAUUCACGUUCGAACGGUUCGAUGUCGAAUUUGUACGCACGAUGUUAAUGUCGCCCUUCAAAACGCAUAGAGCGUCGAAAAAUUGGCUCGAGGUAACUUACAAUUUAAAAAUCUGUUUAUUAAACGCAACUUUACUUUAAAUUAGGGGAAAAAUUAAAAUUUUUAUUACAUACAUAUUACAUACGCAUCUGAAGGGGUGAAGCUCGAUGAUGUAUUAUCGUCACCAUCUGUCAUUAAUUCGUUUUCCAACUCAAUUUCUUCUCGCAGUUUGAUAUAGUUAAUUCUGGCAUAACUAUUGAAGAGAAUAUUAUUAGAAAUAUUACUGAGGGGAGAAGGCUAAAUAUUACUACGUAAGUAGUUAAUAUUUCCCUAUACCUGGCUAGUCUAUGGGUGUCGGAGAGCUCAGAAAUCAUGCAGAAAUACUAUAUGCAUUUAUGAUCCGAUGUAAUAAUAAUAACACCAAAACGAUACAACGUGUCUAAUUGAUUUAUUAUUAUAAUUCGAUCAUGUCAGGUGAAUCAAGAUAUAAAAGAAUUUACAUAAUUUUACAUCAUUAAUAUGGACACCGGUCCAUAUUAUGCGUCUCGCGCUAAUGAAUUAAGAUAUAAUACGCUAAAGUAUUAUUGUAAUCGAAGGUGAUGAAUUAUGCAGGGAUGACAAUAAACCCUAAUUUUGCAUACUUACGAAGAAAGAGAUUACUUCUCAAUACUCGUAAGUAUGGGAAAAAUUACCUUAUUAAAUAAAUGAUGAGGUUACUCACCAAGGUCCACAUAAUGUCCGCUUCUACUGUCUCUUUCAAGGUGGCUCACUCAUACUAGGCCAGGCGACAGCAAUGUAUUACACGAGGUACCUAUUCUACUAGCAGUAGGAGUGAUGCCCGGGAAGAUCUACUCCAUACCCAAUAAUAUCGCGAUCGGAUAGUUAACUUAUUCGAAUCACGACGUAAUUUCAUUUUAACCACUAUAUGUAGUGGGCAAUGCCUGGAUAAAUAGGGGAUAGGUACCCUUACUGGAUACCUUACCUGCCUGUCACAUCUACUAAGUUUCAUAUCUGAGGAAAUGCGCGUUACGACGAAGCACCGGCGAGCUCGAGAUACCUAUGCUAAGUAAUUUUGGUGCGUUCGCGAUGCAUUAUAUAUGCAUCGCGCUCGAUGCGUUGCUCGAUGCAUUGCCUACGUCACGACCUUUGCGGAGUUAACACGUUCCCACCACUUACGUUCACGCUACCUAUAGUUAUGCUUCGAAUAACUACUUACGUAGUUGGGCCAUAUCUCACCAUAUCAUAUGCCCCCCGUGGGGUUAACUCAAUUGAGUAACAAUCGAGGAAAGUCACGGUUAUGACUUAAAAAAGCUAUGGGAGAUAGGCCUCAACUCCCCCCUUUCCCCUCCUGUCCAGAAGCUAGACUGAUGAGGCUAUAGCUCACCCCUGCCCCCCGUUACUUGCUGCGAUUGCAGACUAUUUUGAGUUGACAAGAGAGGUCGAAAGAUGGGUGGGGGCAGGCAUUGUGGAAACAAGGGUCACCAUAUGGUUCCUGCACCCCUUCGAUUACCUGAUGUCAGUGAGCAAAUUCGAAAAUUUAGAACACAAACAAGCAAUCGAUACAAGGGAUACAUUGGAGAGGUCAGUGACCCUAAACAUAUCCACUAGAGAGAGUAGUAGAGGUGGUGUGUUAACGUGUUGUUGUGGGGUGUAUUUAGAAUUUAAAGUUCAAAAAAAAAUUUUGUUGAAGACACCUAAAGUGUAGAAUACUGUGACAGAAUCUAACUAUUUGUAUUGUUUUUUACAACUUCGAAAUGGGGUCAGUCAAAGAGGAGCUUACUUAGCACGGUAUCUCCUAUUUUAAGUACAUGAGUACAGCAGGUAGGUGCAUCGGUAAGUACAUAUGAAACUGAUGUGUAGGUCAUUUUUUGAAAAUUGUAAUGAAUUUUUUGUAUGUUUUUUCUUUUUUGUUGCAGGUUUUUUGGUUUUUCAGAAAUCCGGGAUCUUUUAUUGUUAGACUAUGCGUUUCAAUUUUAGUAUAAUUUUUUGUAGAAGGUUUCCUGCAACCUUAUUAAUUCAUGUUUCUUUUAUGUGUGUUUCAGAUUCGAAGAAUUCCAGAAAUUGUUGAAAAUGGUGAAAAUCGAAAAAGAAAAUGAUACCAAGGGUUAGUGCUCAUCGAUAUCAUAAAAGGUAAGAGAAUGGAAAAUUUUUCAUUAUCCCUACUUUGAUGCUAAAAUUGUAGCUGUCUGUAUUUUAUACUAUUUUCUCCUAAUUGUAUUUUGGUUUAUAAACAGCAGACUGACCAAAGGUUGUUGACCUAUUCACAAAGUGGCCUGCACGAAGGAGACAACAUCAACGGACAGUUGCACCAGUGUGCCUCCUCACCAUUAUUGAAAGGUAAUUAGAUAGUUUCGUACUGAGAUAAUUAAUAUUACUAAAUACAACUAAAUAAAUAAGUAGGUACUUUAGAGUAGAAUUAGUAUAGAGAGAGGAAAAGAAAAGAAAGAUAGAGAUAAAAAUAAUAUGUAAGAUUUAGAUUGAUUUGAAGGAGAGAGGUUGUUAACGGUUCUCAAAAAAAAGAAAAAAAAAUAUUGAGAUAAAUAGUUCAAUUAUUGAGAAAGAGAGAAAGAAAGAUAGAGAAAGAAUAAUAAUCAUUCGAAAAAGAGAAAAGAAGUGAAAAUAAAGAAGGGUCAAGAGACAUUAUAUGAGAGAAAGAUGAAGAAAGCGAGAAGUAUUUAUGCUAGGUUUACAUUGUUGCCUAUCUUAUAUUUAUAAGGUACAAUUGACACGUCAGUUUUUCAUAUAGAGUAGUUUUGCAGCUUAUAGUUUAAUAUUAGUAUUUAUAUUUUAAAAUAGAUAGGAAUAUGUUGAUCGUCCGCAUAUAAUUGAUUCAAAUGCUUUAUUGCUUUUAUGUUUCACGCUGGAGGAAAUACAUGGUUCAUUGUGUCAAUUUUCAUCGGAGGAGGUAGAUGGAUCAUUGUGCUACGUCUCACUGGAGUCAGUUCAGUCGCAUGUAGCAUUGCAGUCAAUUGGUCAAAAUGUCAUGGCGCUAUGGGAGUGAAAACAUAAGGUGUUCGAUUUUUGGGGAAGAAAAAUGCUUGUCGAAGAUUUAUGGUCAUCCAUCAAACAGUGGUCAAGUUUUCAGUGAUGAUAUUGGCGACAUAGAUCGCAACAUUUUCGACGUGGGAUCAACCGGUUUUUUCGGUGUCCAGAAAUUAUGGUUACAAUCGAUAAGGAGGAGAAAAAGAAAUUCGGCUGAUAUAAAGAGCGGUCAUCAUUCUAGAAUUUUGAGUUCGUGGGAUAGGUUUGGAAUGAUUGGUACGAAUGUAUUCGUGGUUGCCGAAAAACAGUGAUAGGUACGAUGUUGAAAGUCGACUCGCGAAAGGAAUGACCUAAAUCAAUCGUACUUUCAAGAUUUAUUUGAGGCUACGGGAGCUUCCCAUUAUCCUAGAAUUUUGGGAAAGUGAAAUGGAAUUGACGACUAGGAAUGUGUUUUGUAACCAUCAUCGGUGGAAAUUCUUGAAUAACAAACAAGUUUUCAGAAUUUGAAAUUUCGACGAUAUUUUGGGAAGCUGUGUUGAUUUGAAAUUCCUUAUCUUAUGGUCAUUAACGUACUGCAAAUUUUGGCGAAAACGUGUGAUGUUGAACCGGAUCUAGAUCCUAAUUUGUAGAUUCAUUCAUCGUGUACAAGGAAUAAAAUACUUCAGCGAUGUAUUUUAUCGUUCCUGAAUGCUACUUCUAAUACAGAUUUUUUGAAAAAAUAUAUGAUCGUUUUGAGUGCACAAAAGGAGCGACGUGGGACCGAAGAAUUUAGCAACCGGAUUCAUGCUUCAAUAUUGGGUGAGAGUUGAUUAAUUUAUUUAUUUAGACGCUGUUAAUUUGGAUUAUGAUCGAGAAGAAUUUUUUGAAGAAAUGUGGACACGGAUAAUGUGUAUUCGAAUCGAAGAAAAUGAAGAUUUCAAAUUUCACGACGUGAUACAGCUUGGGAUAAUGGUGACGGGUAACAAACGAAGGCUACAUGUGUUUUUGAAGUAUCCAGCGUUUAUUAUCCGUGGCUGUUAUUUCCUCACACAUUCGCCAAAUAUGGGACUUGAAUUGAGAAAUGAUGGUAACGGGUAAUGAGCGAUGGGUACGUAUGGUUGUAAGUAUCCAACGCUCCUUAUCCGUAGCUAUUGUUGUUUAAAACUUCGCCAAAAUAUGGGUCUUACUUU